GCAAGUCGAGCGGAUUGAUGGGAGCUUGCUCCCUGAAGUCAGCGGCGGACCGGUGAGUAACACGUGGGUAACCUGCCUGUAAGACUGGGAUAACUCCGGGAAACCGGGGCUAAUACCGGAUAGUUCUUUUCCUCGCAUGAGGAAAAGUGGAAAGGCGGCUUCGGCUGCCACUUACAGAUGGACCCGCGGCGCAUUAGCUAGUUGGUGAGGUAACGGCUCACCAAGGCAACGAUGCGUAGCCGACCUGAGAGGGUGAUCGGCCACACUGGGACUGAGACACGGCCCAGACUCCUACGGGAGGCAGCAGUAGGGAAUCUUCCGCAAUGGACGAAAGUCUGACGGAGCAACGCCGCGUGAGUGAUGAAGGUUUUCGGAUCGUAAAGCUCUGUUGUUAGGGAAGAACAAGUGCCGUUCGAAUAGGGCGGCACCUUGACGGUACCUAACCAGAAAGCCACGGCUAACUACGUGCCAGCAGCCGCGGUAAUACGUAGGUGGCAAGCGUUGUCCGGAAUUAUUGGGCGUAAAGCGCGCGCAGGCGGUCUCUUAAGUCUGAU
Molecule: ribosomal RNA, 554 nt
Filed under: Bacillus sp. CH49a_2B
Lineage: Bacteria; Bacillati; Bacillota; Bacilli; Caryophanales; Bacillaceae
Description: bacterial SSU rRNA
Rfam family: Bacterial small subunit ribosomal RNA
Source: RNAcentral